UACGUAGGUGUCGAGCGUUGUCCGGAUUUAUUGGGCGUAAAGCGCCCGCAGGCGGCUUGGCCAGUUCGAGGUGAAAUCUCCCGGCUCAACUAGGAGGGUGCCUCGGAAACUGCCAGGCUUGAGGCAGGGAGAGGGAUGUGGAAUUCCCGGUGUAGUGGUGAAAUGCGUAGAGAUCCGGAAGAACACCGGUGGCGAAGGCGGCCUGCUGGGCGGCGACUGACGCUGAGGCGCGACAGCGUGGGGAGCAAACAGG
RNAcentral lists this ribosomal RNA (253 nucleotides) under uncultured bacterium. RNAcentral describes it as "partial 16S ribosomal RNA". It matches the Rfam family "Bacterial small subunit ribosomal RNA", at positions 524 to 776 of the family's 1533-position model. The record is from RNAcentral.